This 77-nucleotide transfer RNA is filed under the name Eikenella corrodens. Its description in RNAcentral is "tRNA-Xxx". Lineage: Bacteria; Pseudomonadati; Pseudomonadota; Betaproteobacteria; Neisseriales; Neisseriaceae. The record is from RNAcentral.
GUUUAUAAAUGGAUGCCUAAUAGACUCAAAAUCCCCCGCCGCAAGGUGUGUCGGUUCGAGUCCGACCCUGGGCACCA